RNAcentral lists this unclassified non-coding RNA (425 nucleotides) under soil metagenome. Its description in RNAcentral is "partial contains 5.8S ribosomal RNA, internal transcribed spacer 2, and large subunit ribosomal RNA". The stretch from base 1 to 120 matches the Rfam family "5.8S ribosomal RNA", at positions 35 to 154 of the family's 154-position model. The record is from RNAcentral.
GAUGAAGAACGCAGCGAAAUGCGAUAAGUAGUGUGAAUUGCAGAAUUCCGUGAAUCAUCGAAUCUUUGAACGCACAUUGCGCCUUCUGGUAUUCCGGAAGGCAUGCCUGUUCGAGAGUCAUUAACAACCGUUUCGAUCCCUUUCUUUCAGAAAUUACAAAAAGGAAAAGGGUUUGGUUAUGGUGGAGGAGGGAAAGGGAGCGUUUAGCCUGUAAAAAAAGAGGCUGUGUUCCGCCUCCCCCCCAAAAUUGUACAGGCGGUCGUGUGCGCCCACGCAUCGAGGUGUUGUAAAAGCUGCCACGGCACUUUUCACCUGUGCAGUGCGAGAUUGGCCAGCCGGUUUAAAAACCCCUCCAAACAAUCAAAGGUUGACCUCGGAUCAGGUAGGGAUACCCGCUGAACUUAAGCAUAUCAAUAAGCGGAGGA